CCUACGGGUGGCAGCAGUGGGGAAUAUUGCACAAUGGGGGAAACCCUGAUGCAGCGACGCCGCGUGAGUGAAGAAGUAUUUCGGUAUGUAAAGCUCUAUCAGCAGGGAAGAAAAUGACGGUACCUGACUAAGAAGCCCCGGCUAACUACGUGCCAGCAGCCGCGGUAAUACGUAGGGGGCAAGCGUUAUCCGGAUUUACUGGGUGUAAAGGGAGCGUAGAUGGGAGUACAAGUCUGGAGUGAAAUGCCGGGGCUUAACCCCGGAACUGCUUUGGAAACUGUGCAGCUAGAGUGCAGGAGAGGUAAGCGGAAUUCCUAGUGUAGCGGUGAAAUGCGUAGAUAUUAGGAGGAACACCAGUGGCGAAGGCGGCUUACUGGACUGUAACUGACGUUGAGGCUCGAAAGCGUGGGGAGCAAACAGGAUUAGAUACCCCUGUAGUC
RNAcentral lists this ribosomal RNA (440 nucleotides) under uncultured bacterium. RNAcentral describes it as "partial 16S ribosomal RNA". It matches the Rfam family "Bacterial small subunit ribosomal RNA", at positions 338 to 795 of the family's 1533-position model. The record is from RNAcentral.